UACGGAGGGCGCAAGCGUUGUUCGGAAUCACUGGGCGUAAAGCGCGUGUAGGCGGCUCUGCAAGUCGGGUGUGAAAUCCCGAGGCUCAACCUCGGAACUGCACUCGAUACUGCUUGGCUCGAGUCCCGGAGAGGGUGGCGGAAUUCCCGGUGUAGGGGUGAAAUCCGUAGAUAUCGGGAGGAACACCAGUGGCGAAGGCGGCCGCCUGGUCGGUAACUGACGCUGAGUCGCGAAAGCGUGGGGAGCAAACAGG
RNAcentral lists this ribosomal RNA (253 nucleotides) under uncultured bacterium. RNAcentral's name for it is "partial 16S ribosomal RNA". It matches the Rfam family "Bacterial small subunit ribosomal RNA", at positions 524 to 776 of the family's 1533-position model. The record is from RNAcentral.